UACGUAGGGUGCGAGCGUUAAUCGGAAUUACUGGGCGUAAAGGGCGCGUAGGCGGCCUGCUAAGUCGAACGUGAAAUCCCUGGGCUCAACCCAGGAACUGCGUCCGAUACUGGUUGGCUUGAAUCCGGGAGAGGGAUGUGGAAUUCCAGGUGUAGCGGUGAAAUGCGUAGAUAUCUGGAGGAACACCGGUGGCGAAGGCGACAUCCUGGACCGGUAUUGACGCUGAGGCGCGAAAGCCAGGGGAGCAAACGGG
Molecule: ribosomal RNA, 253 nt
Filed under: uncultured bacterium
Lineage: Bacteria
Description: partial 16S ribosomal RNA
Rfam family: Bacterial small subunit ribosomal RNA
Source: RNAcentral